RNAcentral lists this transfer RNA (71 nucleotides) under Smittium mucronatum. It matches the Rfam family "tRNA". From Rfam's summary of the family: Transfer RNA (tRNA) molecules are approximately 80 nucleotides in length. The record is from Rfam by way of RNAcentral. Lineage: Eukaryota; Fungi; Kickxellomycota; Harpellomycetes; Harpellales; Legeriomycetaceae.
GGAUCAAUAGCUCAGUGGCAGAGCUUCCGAUUGCAGACCGGAUUGUCCCGUGUUAAAUCACGGUUGGCCCU